Molecule: ribosomal RNA, 465 nt
Filed under: Vreelandella stevensii
Lineage: Bacteria; Pseudomonadati; Pseudomonadota; Gammaproteobacteria; Oceanospirillales; Halomonadaceae
Description: partial 16S ribosomal RNA
Rfam family: Bacterial small subunit ribosomal RNA
Source: RNAcentral
CCUACGGGAGGCUGCAGUGGGGAAUAUUGGACAAUGGGCGAAAGCCUGAUCCAGCCAUGCCGCGUGUGUGAAGAAGGCCUUCGGGUUGUAAAGCACUUUCAGUGGGGAAGAAAGCCUUGGGGCUAAUACCCUCGAGGAAGGACAUCACCCACAGAAGAAGCACCGGCUAACUCCGUGCCAGCAGCCGCGGUAAUACGGAGGGUGCGAGCGUUAAUCGGAAUUACUAGGCGUAAAGCGCGCGUAGGCGGUCUGAUAAGCCGGUUGUGAAAGCCCCGGGCUCAACCUGGGAACGGCAUCCGGAACUGUCAGGCUAGAGUGCAGGAGAGGAAGGUAGAAUUCCCGGUGUAGCGGUGAAAUGCGUAGAGAUCGGGAGGAAUACCAGUGGCGAAGGCGGCCUUCUGGACUGACACUGACGCUGAGGUGCGAAAGCGUGGGUAGCAAACAGGAUUAGAUACCCCAGUAGUC